Molecule: unclassified non-coding RNA, 99 nt
Filed under: Pseudomonas sp. NFACC15-1
Lineage: Bacteria; Pseudomonadati; Pseudomonadota; Gammaproteobacteria; Pseudomonadales; Pseudomonadaceae
Also listed under: 2 other names
Description: Pseudomonas rnk leader
Source: RNAcentral
CGUUGCACUCGUCAGCUCCUACUGAUAGUGUCCGGCUACGCCUCAAUUCGUCGAGGCCCGUGAAAACCCCGCCUUUUUGUGGCGGGGUUUUGCUUUUUU